UCUCCCCCUUCAGGCAGUCUGUCCAUCUGCCAGCUGUGCUCACCAGGUGGCUCCUGGAGGCCUGGAGUGGCCUGCGUGGGGUGCCGUGUCCUGGGGCCUGUUUGGGGCUUUCAGACUGGAGAAGGAUUGACCCAGACUGGAGAAGGAUUGACCCAUUUUAUUUUAUGAGUAUCCUGCUGGUGCUUUCCAUUGGUCAUAACCAACCAGAAGUCAGAAGACACAGAGGCCUGGUGAUAAAGCACAUAUAAGCCAACCCCCUGGGGAAGAGACCAAGGUGAAGAAAGGAGAAUAGAUCUGGAGGAAAAUUGAAGACAUCUGGGGCAAAGGAUAAGAUGCUAUUUACAGCCACAGAAUGAGACGACCUAGGAAAAAGAAUGCAGUCGUUUCCAGAAGCAAACCUUGAGAAGAAAUGCUGUAUCAAAAGGGGAAUACAGAGAGCUAGACCAUCAGAGGCCAUCUAAGAAUACCACUCUCAUGUGUACUGAAAAGAUGCUAUGAUGCUUGGGAAUAAAGUGGAAGUUCAGCACUUCGGAGGCUGGCCUGACUCACACAUGGCUCCAUCGCCGCCUUUGACCCUCUCCACUCACAGCUGCCAAAUCAAGUCAUUUCAGGUCAGCUUUCUUCUUUCUUUCCUUUCUUCUUUUCUGCACUCCUUCCUUCCUUCCUCCACUCCUUCCUUCCUUCUUUCUUUACUUUUUAAUCUUUUGAAAGUUGAUUCACAGAAUAAUUCAGCAAAUUAUUUUGUGACGCAAGCUAUUAAGAUGUCUGAAACAUCAUCAAAUCAAUCAGUUUUCAAGAUUGGCUUCUGACUGCAUGGAUGUUGUUCCUCUAUGUCUCUGUGGCAGGUAGAAUUCUAAAAUGGUCCCAAAAUUCCUGCACUUUGGUGUGUAAUCCCUAUAUAAUCCCCUCCCUUUGAGCGAGAACAGGAUUUUUGAAUAUGAUGGGAUAUCGCUCCCAUAAUUAUGUUACGUUAUAUGACAGAAAGGAUUUUGCAGGUGUAAAUAAGAGCCUUAAUCAGCUGACUUUGAGUUAAUCAAAGUAGAAAUUACCCAGGGUGGGACUGACCUAAUCAGGGGAGACCUGAGAAGAGGUCAGAGAGAUUUCUUCUGUUGGCCUUGCAGAAACAAACAGCAAUGUUGAGAACUGCUUAUGGAAGUGGCCAUGUGAAAGGACCUGAGGGUGUCAUCUAAGAUUUAAGAGCUGUCUCCAACCAACAGCCAGCAAGAAGCCAUGGACUUCACCUCCACAAUUGCAAGGAACUGAAUUCUUCCAACAGCCAGUCAGAUUGAAAGGGGACUCCAAGCCUCAUAUGUAAUUUCAGCCCCAACUGACACUUUGAUUUCAGCCUGAUGAGACCAGAAGCAGAGGACUCGGCUUACCCAAACCAAAACUCCUGAGCCACAGAAACUGUCAGAUAAUAAAUGUGUGCUGCUUUA
Choloepus didactylus (southern two-toed sloth) is the source of this 1436-nucleotide long non-coding RNA. RefSeq lists it as uncharacterized. NCBI's taxonomy places the organism in Eukaryota, Metazoa, Chordata, Mammalia, Pilosa, Megalonychidae. The transcript is spliced from 3 exons. The record is from RefSeq and is a predicted model, not a curated record.